AGAGUUUGAUCCUGGCUCAGGAUGAACGCUGGCGGCGUGCCUAAUACAUGCAAGUCGAGCGAACAGAUAAGGAGCUUGCUCCUUUGAAGUUAGCGGCGGACGGGUGAGUAACACGUGGGUAACCUACCUAUAAGACUGGGAUAACUUCGGGAAACCGGAGCUAAUACCGGAUAACAUUUAGAACCGCAUGGUUCUAAAGUGAAAGAUGGUUUUGCUAUCACUUAUAGAUGGACCCGCGCCGUAUUAGCUAGUUGGUAAGGUAACGGCUUACCAAGGCGACGAUACGUAGCCGACCUGAGAGGGUGAUCGGCCACACUGGAACUGAGACACGGUCCAGACUCCUACGGGAGGCAGCAGUAGGGAAUCUUCCGCAAUGGGCGAAAGCCUGACGGAGCAACGCCGCGUGAGUGAUGAAGGGUUUCGGCUCGUAAAACUCUGUUAUUAGGGAAGAACAAAUGCGUAAGUAACUGUGCACAUCUUGACGGUACCUAAUCAGAAAGCCACGGCUAACUACGUG
This 517-nucleotide ribosomal RNA is filed under the name uncultured Staphylococcus sp. RNAcentral's name for it is "bacterial SSU rRNA". It matches the Rfam family "Bacterial small subunit ribosomal RNA", at positions 8 to 507 of the family's 1533-position model. Lineage: Bacteria; Bacillati; Bacillota; Bacilli; Caryophanales; Staphylococcaceae. The record is from RNAcentral.